CACUUUGUCUUUACGGCAAAUGUGAGAUGCAGUGUAUGGAAUGUCAAAUUUCUAGUAUGAGAAAUUAACGAUUUAAGUCCUUCUUAAAUGAGGCCAUUUACCCAUAGAGGGUGCCAGGCCCGUAUAACGUUAAUGAUUACUAGAUGGCAUUUCCAAAGAGUCGUGUUGCUUGAUAGUGCAGCACUAAGUUGGUGGUAAACUCCAUCUAAAACUAAAUAUAACCAUGAGACCGAUAGUAAACAAGUACCGUGAGGGAAAGUUGAAAAGAACUCUGAAUAGAGAGUUAAAUAGUACGUGAAACUGCUUAGAGGUUAAGCCCGAUGAACCUGAAUAUCCAUUAUAGAAAAUUCAUCAUUAUGAUUUAAAUACUAAUUAGUAUUUUAAUAAUAGUGUGCAUUUUUUCUAUAGAGGACAUUGUAAUCUAUUGACAUGAAUUAAAUUUAUCAUAAGAUCAAUUGCUUAAGUUUACUCAAAUUAUUUUGAUUUCAAUUUAACAUAGAAUAAAUGCUUUUGAUUUGAUAAAGUGUUGAUAGAUUUAUAAUAUACAGUGCUUCAAUAUCUUAUAUUGUAUAAUAGCAUAUUAAUUAUUAAUUUUUAUGUUUAUUUUAUGCACUUGUAUGAUUAACAAUGCGAAAGAUUCAGGAUACCUUCGGGACCCGUCUUGAAACACGGACCAAGGAGUCUAACAUAUUUGCAAGUUAUUGGGAGUAAAAACCUAAUAGCGAAAUUAACAUAACUUAAAAAUUAAUUGGGAUUAGUUUUUAGCCUAUUUAUAGUCUAUUAAUUCAAUCCCGGGGCGUUCUAUACAGUUAUGUAUAAUAAUAUUUAUAUUAUUUAUACCUCUAACUAGAGCGUACCUUGAGCAUAUAUGCUGUGACCCGAAAGAUGGUGAACUAUACUUGAUCAGGUUGAAGUCAGGGGAAACCCUGAUGGAAGACCGAAACAGUUCUGACGUGCAAAUCGAUUGUCAGAAUUGCAGUAUAGG
Molecule: ribosomal RNA, 985 nt
Filed under: Lespesia archippivora
Lineage: Eukaryota; Metazoa; Arthropoda; Insecta; Diptera; Tachinidae
Description: eukaryotic LSU rRNA
Rfam family: Eukaryotic large subunit ribosomal RNA
Source: RNAcentral